CGUACUGAGACACGGACCAGACUCCUACGGGAGGCAGCAGUGGGGAAUCUUGCACAAUGGGGUCACCCCUGAUGCAGCCAUGCCGCGUGGAGGAAGACACCCCUAUGGGGCGUAAACUCCUUUUCUGAGAGAAGAAGCCCCUGUAGGUUCAGGGCGUGACGGUAUCUCAGGAAUAAGCACCGGCUAACUCCGUGCCAGCAGCCGCGGUAAUACGGAGGGUGCAAGCGUUGUCCGGAAUCACUGGGCGUAAAGGGUGCGCAGGCGGGGCAGCAAGUCGGAGGUGAAAGCCCGUGGCUCAACCACGGAAGUGCCUUCGAAACUGUUGCUCUUGAGUCCCGGAGAGGUUGCCGGAAUUCGUGGUGUAGCGGUGAAAUGCGUAGAUAUCACGGGGAACACCAGAGGCGAAAGCGGGCAACUGGACGGGUACUGACGCUCAGGCACGAAAGCGCGGGGAGCAAACAGGAUUAGAUACCCUGGUAGUCCGCGCCGUAAACGAUGAAUGCUCGCCGUUAUCCCGCUUAAGGGAUAGUGGCUAAGCUAACGCGUUAAGCAUUCCGCCUGGGGAGUACGAUCGCAAGGUUGAAACUCAAAGGAAUUGACGG
Molecule: ribosomal RNA, 602 nt
Filed under: uncultured Bacteroidota bacterium
Lineage: Bacteria; Pseudomonadati; Bacteroidota
Description: bacterial SSU rRNA
Rfam family: Bacterial small subunit ribosomal RNA
Source: RNAcentral